GAUGAGCGCUGGCGGCGUGCCUAAUACAUGCAAGUCGAGCGAACAGACGAGGAGCUUGCUCCUCUGACGUUAGCGGCGGACGGGUGAGUAACACGUGGAUAACCUACCUAUAAGACUGGGAUAACUUCGGGAAACCGGAGCUAAUACCGGAUAAUAUAUUGAACCGCAUGGUUCAAUAGUGAAAGACGGUUUUGCUGUCACUUAUAGAUGGAUCCGCGCCGCAUUAGCUAGUUGGUAAGGUAACGGCUUACCAAGGCGACGAUGCGUAGCCGACCUGAGAGGGUGAUCGGCCUCACUGGAACUGAGACACGGUCCAGACUCCUACGGGAGGCAGCAGUAGGGAAUCUUCCGCAAUGGGCGAAAGCCUGACGGAGCAACGCCGCGUGAGUGAUGAAGGUCUUCGGAUCGUAAAACUCUGUUAUUAGGGAAGAACAAAUGUGUAAGUAACUAUGCACGUCUUGACGGUACCUAAUCAGAAAGCCACGGCUAACUACGUG
Molecule: ribosomal RNA, 497 nt
Filed under: uncultured bacterium
Lineage: Bacteria
Description: partial 16S ribosomal RNA
Rfam family: Bacterial small subunit ribosomal RNA
Source: RNAcentral